This 429-nucleotide ribosomal RNA is filed under the name Bacillota bacterium. Its description in RNAcentral is "Firmicutes bacterium partial 16S ribosomal RNA". It matches the Rfam family "Bacterial small subunit ribosomal RNA", at positions 355 to 776 of the family's 1533-position model. Lineage: Bacteria; Bacillati; Bacillota. The record is from RNAcentral.
UAGGGAAUCUUCGGCAAUGGACGGAAGUCUGACCGAGCAACGCCGCGUGAGUGAAGAAGGUUUUCGGAUUGUAAAGCUCUGUUGUUAGAGAAGAACGUUGGUAGGAGUGGAAAAUCUACCAAGUGACGGUAACUAACCAGAAAGGGACGGCUAACUACGUGCCAGCAGCCGCGGUAAUACGUAGGUCCCGAGCGUUGUCCGGAUUUAUUGGGCGUAAAGCGAGCGCAGGCGAUUCUUUAAGUCUGAAGUUAAAGGCAGUGGCUUAACCAUUGUACGCUUUGGAAACUGGAGGACUUGAGUGCAGAAGGGGGGAGUGGAAUUCGAUGUGUAGCGGUGAAAUGCGUAGAUAUAUGGAGGAACACCGGUGGCGAGAGCGGCUCUCUGGUCUGUAACUGACGCUGAGGCUCGAAAGCGUGGGGAGCAAACAGG